GACGAACGCUGGCGGCGUGCUUAACACAUGCAAGUCGAACGGAAAGGCCCUGCUUUUGUGGGGUGCUCGAGUGGCGAACGGGUGAGUAACACGUGAGUAACCUGCCCUUGACUUUGGGAUAACUUCAGGAAACUGGGGCUAUUACCGGAUAGGAGCUCCUGCUGCAUGGUGGGGGUUGGAAAGUUUCGGCGGUUGGGGAUGGACUAGCGGCUUAUCAGCUUGUUGGUGGGGUAGUGGCUUACCAAGGCUUUGACGGGUAGCCGGCCUGAGAGGGUGACCGGCCACAUUGGGACUGAGAUACGGCCCAGACUCCUACGUGAGGCAGCAGUGGAGAAUAUUGCACAAUGGGCGGAAGCCUGAUGCAGCAACGCCGCGUGCGGGAUGACGGCCUUCGGGUUGUAAACCGCUUUCGCCUGUGACGAAGCGUGCGUGACGGUAAUGGGUAAAGAAGCACCGGCUAACUACGUG
RNAcentral lists this ribosomal RNA (468 nucleotides) under uncultured bacterium. RNAcentral's name for it is "partial 16S ribosomal RNA". It matches the Rfam family "Bacterial small subunit ribosomal RNA", at positions 28 to 507 of the family's 1533-position model. The record is from RNAcentral.